Molecule: transfer RNA, 89 nt
Filed under: Nitrospirota bacterium
Lineage: Bacteria; Pseudomonadati; Nitrospirota
Description: Nitrospirae bacterium (groundwater metagenome) tRNA-Ser
Rfam family: tRNA
About the family: Transfer RNA (tRNA) molecules are approximately 80 nucleotides in length. Their secondary structure includes four short double-helical elements and three loops (D, anti-codon, and T loops).
Source: RNAcentral
GGAGAGAUGGCCGAGCUGGUCGAAGGCGCUUGACUCGAAAUCAAGUGUGGCGAAAGUCACCGGGGGUUCGAAUCCCUCUCUCUCCGCCA